GACCUGGUAGCACAACGCCAGUGCGUCUGCAUUCAGUAAGUUUAUGGAAAGCUUGUUUAUGCAGAAGAUCCCCGUUCGACUCGGGGUCAGGUCA
Molecule: non-coding RNA, 94 nt
Organism: Mycena latifolia
Lineage: Eukaryota; Fungi; Basidiomycota; Agaricomycetes; Agaricales; Mycenaceae
Source: the annotation of a GenBank genome assembly